Molecule: long non-coding RNA, 1537 nt
Filed under: Anser cygnoides (Swan goose)
Lineage: Eukaryota; Metazoa; Chordata; Aves; Anseriformes; Anatidae
Description: lncRNA (ENSACDG00005005527.1)
Source: RNAcentral
AUGCUCCUGGGGACUGUCACCAUCCUAGAACCAGCCCUGCUUGGCUCCUGCCUUCCUGCAGCUGCUCCUUGGCGUUUUAUCCCCAGCCUGAGGAUGAAGGGGUUAGCUGCUCAUUCCCAUCCAUCGCUAAAAAUCCUAAAUCAGGAGCUGAUCUUCAGGGCUCAGAGAGAGAUUGUGCCUCCUGACUCCAGCUGCUGGCAGCGUUUUAAAGCACCAGAGGCGGCUGGGACACACUCAGCAACAUGGCUGCUGCUGGGGGCUGGGGCGCACCAUGGGGGGAGAGCUGAAGAAGCACAGAACGUGACAAUAAAGAUGAGGAACAGAGGUACGGAGAGCUGGAAGCAGCUGGAGGAGAAUUGCAAUGAGGUGACAAGAAGCCAGCGCUCAGCAGCUGCUCUGUGCACCCAGUGGCCCAGCACGCUGCGUGAGGCGCUGUGUGCGUCUGGCUUGGUUACUUUAAAUAAGUAUUGUAAUAAUGUGGGGGACACCGCUCUGCAACGCACGGUUAGACGUUCAGGUGGGACGCUGGUGUUCUAGCUGGGGUGCUGAGGUGCUGUUUGGGGAAACCUGCUGUGGUUUUCAUGGCUGCACCAAGGCUGUGACCAGCCUUGAGAGUGGCCACAGUGGCUGUGCUCAGCGGCAGGCGACCCCUCUCCUGGGACACAACAGGCUUGGAGACCCCAGGGAUCUUAAAGACAAGAGCUGGGGAUAACGGCCAGGUGCCUGAAACCACAGGGGGAGGUUAUGUGUCCCAGUAGCACAGCCACAAUGAGAGGCAGGCCGGGUGCUUUGCUGCAGUACAAGUGUGGGAUCGCUGCAGGCUUUAUUGCUCCUCCGUGCCCCCUUGCAGGCUGCUGUCCUCCUCCUGAGCUCUGCCACCAGCUGCAAAACCACCUGCAGGGGUUGAGGGGAGCCCGGAGACCAGUGAUGAGUUAACCACAGCUCCUGGGCCUCUGCCCAUGAGCACAGCUCUGUAAUUCUUCCCCUGUAAAGUACUUGUUUACAGCCUGAUUUUUCACCACGUUAUCUCUGGUGUCUGUGGCCAAAUGCUCACAGGCUUUACUUCUCAGAGCAUGGUCAAAGAGGUGAUCCGCCUGUUUCUGCUCUCUCUUGCUAAGGUGACAAUUUUGUUCUGUAGGAAGAAUACAGGUUUCUGCUGCCAGGGAUUUACUGGGAAACUGAGCUGUGGGUUGGCCUCCAAGAGCUGGGCAGGCACCAUAAAAUUCCUCCUUCACCGAAAUCCCCAUCUGACUCCUGCCAAAUGCAUCCAGAAGCUCGCCAAGCUUGCCUUACACUCCUUUCCACGCUGUGAGAGGUGUUUCGUUGCACAGAGCUCUGGAUGCCCAGGGCCUGGGUAGGGAUGCUGUAAUGCCACCGGGGCUGAGGGGUGACUUACCCUGUGACUUGAGAGAUUUCUCCUAUGCCAGCUUUGGAAGUUCCAUGCUACCAAGAAAUAAUGAGAUACCAUCCAUGUCCCUGGUGCAGGCAGGGGUUAAGGACUGUUCCUGCCCCAGCUGAGCCUGGAGGGAAGCAGGGC